RNAcentral lists this long non-coding RNA (888 nucleotides) under Rattus norvegicus (Norway rat). Its description in RNAcentral is "long non-coding RNA NONRATT001294". Lineage: Eukaryota; Metazoa; Chordata; Mammalia; Rodentia; Muridae. The record is from RNAcentral.
GUCAUUUAUGCUGCAUGCUAAAACCAGAAAGUAAUUUUCACAGUAAGGUGACUCCAUAUGAAUUGUGGUAACAAUACUGGUAAAUGUUACUGUUCCAGUAGUUCCUACAAAUUGACUAUUUUGUUUUCAUUUUGAUCAGUGAGUAAUCACCAAGUCAAAGGUUGCCUGCCGCUCUAAGUCCUUAGCAUGCAUAGCGUCUAGAAUAGGUGAUCUCCAUGUGUAGUUGAUUUUUUGGGAGGCAGAUCCAGUUAAGCAGUUAAGCCUUCCUCCCAGAUAAGCCACAGAGCUGAAAGGAAAAACUGGUCUGGGUACAUCUAUGUUGUACCCAAACCUUGUGGUACAGAGUCAGGCUCAGGACUGAACCUUGUUCUGCAUAUUGUAGUUUCUUGAGUAUCCUUUCCCCAGUUCCCUCUGUAUUUAUUUAUUUAUUUAUUUAUUUAUGACCAGUGACCCUGACCACAUAUAAUUUGAUAGGUACCCAUUCUUCCCCGUGGGAAAGAAUUAAAGAAGACUCCAUUUCUUGGAAUGGGGCUUUCGUUAGUCUCUAUAGCAGACUGCUGGCUGUGAAAAGGCCAACACUUUUGGGAAGUCAAUGCUAUGCUCUUGAACUAAACCAACAGCCAUAAUUAUUGUCCCAAGAACGUGUAAAGCCGUCCUUUGUCAAAGAUUAUACAUGGCUGCGUGGCAAGUGUAGGUAUCUUUAAAUGGACUGGACAGUAAUACUUUUAUAACUACGUGGACUUUAUGGUUCUUUUUCUAGGGUGAAACCAGUACUUUGUUUUUAUUCUGAUGUUGUUCUUUGGAGUCAGUUUAUAUAAUCAUUUCUAAAGGACUGUUUAAGCAACCGCAAUCUAAUUAAACAAAACCUAGGCACACCAUGGAUUCAAA